CCUUUUUUACCUUGUAAACCUAUAACAUGCACAAAAAAGAUAUAUAACACUAUAAAGGAAAAGGAGAAAGCCAAACAGCAUAAUAUGAGCACUUUUAAGUUACAAAGAUACAAGCGCAUUUCUUCACUAGCACCACUUCUGUACAUUUGAAUGAGAACCAUUCACUAUUUUGUAUUUCAUACAGUCAUAUAAGCAUACAUCAGUGCACAUGUACACGAAAAUUUGUGAGUCAUAUCAUUAUGGAUCAUCUGGUCAAUCGUUAUUAAGUUCCCUGUGUGCUCAGACACCGGGCAAUGCAAAAAUGUCACAUAUUAAUGGGGUUAGGUCAGGGAAUCUAAAUGUGAACCGCUUCAGCAGCCCCGCGAUCUGAUGUAAUUAUGCGCCGAUUAAAAAUCACUUAGUGGAUUCCUGCAGCUCCCAAUGAACAAGGCUGGUGCUAAGACACAGCCAUUAGAAGAAAAGGAGCUGACGUCUUUUAAACAAGAAAUCACAUUCUUUAUUUUGUUAGUGUGUGCAGCGACAUCACAGGCAAAGAAAAGUACCAGGAAUACAUUAUGGGUGUGAGUUUGAAUGUGCGUAGUGAUGGAAAAUACAUUUUUAAGCAUAUUUUUAGGCAACCAAAAGGAACAAAACAGUGUGUAACAUUUUUGUUUUCCUCAUUGUGUCGGAAGAAAAUGGCUGAUAACCAGCAGGAACCGUUUUCCAUGAAUGCCAAACGGAUGAGGCUUCAGACCGGGUGACCGGUGUGAUGCUGAUUCACAAUGAUGGGUUUGGAGUAUAAAUGCCCUUCUCUGCACUAUCACUCUCACAAGAGACUGAUUGCCCUUUGCCUUCCCUUUUAUCAGUACAGCCCUCCCUCUUGUUACAUGUGAUUCUGAGCCUGUGAUAGUUUUUAUUUAUUUUUUAUUUGAGGCACUGUGGCAGUUUUGUGCCAAUCACUACAGAGUGCCUGGUGUCAGUGUUUUAAAGUGGCACUUUCAGAUCUUUACUGGCAGUUGCCUGUUCUGGAGAGGAAAUGCCUUUUAAGCAAUUCAGUCCUUGAAUGUUUACAUUUACUUUGAAGAAGUCAGUUAACAUUGUAAUGUUAACAUACAUAACAUACAUAUGUAGUUAACAUACAGUGCAAAGAAAAUGAAUUACUAUGGAUUGUUGUGCCAUGCAUAUUGCAUUGUGGCUACAAUAUUAGUAAUAACGUUGUUUGUUCAUGUUAUUGCAACAUGUGGGAUUUAAAGCCUCGCCAGGAACAUAAAAUUCUCUUGUACAAGCUUUUUAUAUAGCAGUCUGUGGCUCAAUGCUAAGCAUAACAGCUAAAUAAACUACACUUAAAAGCAGUCCUCAGACUUGUAGAGAAGCUGUCUUGGUGCUGCUUUGGUAGAGCCUCCAUUGUGAAAAAUAUUUCCUGAAUUCUCCAUUGUGUUGUCGAGUUUAAGCUUCUCCCCUGGAGGAGUUUAAACCUGACAUGUCCAUAAAGACUACGAGAGCCAGUAUGUAAAGCAAAGCGACGAGGAUGACUGGUCCUUCGUCACAACAAUGCUAUCAUUGUUCUUUUUAAGAUUAUAAGGUUAGACCUGAAAGUCACUUGCAUGUUAAUGCAAGAAGGAACAUAAAGAAGAAAAAAAUACAUCAUCUCAACCCGCCGCAGAUUUAAAGGGUCAGACAACAACAAAUGCUCAUGUUGAUCUUGGAAAAGGCCUUCAUAUAGUAGGAUGCUUUGGUGUUGACAAAAGAUUAAAGGAAUAGUACUACAUGUUUGGGAAUAUUCACUUUCUGGUGAACACAUGAGAAGAUUGAUGCCACUCUCAUAUCUGCCGGUUGGCUUAGCGUAGAAUAACUACUCUAAGCAGGGAAAGAGCUAGCCCUAUUCCAAAGUAACAAAAUCCACCUAUCAGCACAUCAAAAGCUCACUACUUAAAUGUGAUAUCUCAUUUUCGAAGUCCUGUCAUCAUCGUGAGGUUUCCAAGCAGCCAGCAGAUACUUAAGCUAACUAAAACUGCAACUUGCCAUUUUUAACAAACGAAAUAUAAUAUGUAAGUCAGCUUAACCUUUGGACAGCCGUUUCCAGUGUUUGUGCUAAGCUAAGCAAACCAGCUACUUCAUAUUUAGCGUACAGAUAAGAGAGUGAUAUCAAUCUUCUCAUUAAAUUCUCGGCAAGAAAGCAAAUAAGCGUUUAAAGACUCAUCCCACAUUGUUUGGUGCCUGUCUUCUGUUGUCAGUAAAGUUUAAUGUAAUUGUGUCAAUUUGCUAAUGUACCUCAUAAUGGUGAAUGUAAAUAGAUUUGUAUACACUGAAACAAUACUAGUAAAAAGUGUUUUCAAAUGUAUGUUUGCUGGAUAUUAUCUUUUAGUGUUUUGGUGACCUGGCAUGGUUGUUUUGUAUCAGUGAGAUAAUAUUAAAAAGUGAUAUUGAAUCAACAAUCAUUGUAAUGUGCACUUACAGUAAGUAUUCAGUAGUGAAGCAUGUGUAAUAUAGAUGUGUUUAUUUGGAAACUGGAUUUUGUGUUGUGUAUAUUUAAGAUUUAAUAGUUAGUGCAAUGCAAGUAACACUGGUGAAGCUACAAAUGUACUGUAUUAGCUUAGGUUCACAUUUGUGUACAAGGACACUUCAUCGUUUUAAAAUAAUAGUUUUGUUUAUUAUUAUGAUUAAUUUUGUUGUACAGUGUGUGUUGUCGUGGCAGGAAAUUUAACUUGCCAUAAAACUUUGACAUUGUUUCACUCAAACGUUAUGAAUUGAAUUAUUUAAAAAUAUACAAUAUGGUGAAA
Long non-coding RNA from Sander lucioperca (pikeperch), 2759 nucleotides. RefSeq lists it as uncharacterized. The transcript is spliced from 2 exons. The record is from RefSeq and is a predicted model, not a curated record. Lineage: Eukaryota; Metazoa; Chordata; Actinopteri; Perciformes; Percidae.